Molecule: ribosomal RNA, 428 nt
Filed under: Bacteroidota bacterium
Lineage: Bacteria; Pseudomonadati; Bacteroidota
Description: Bacteroidetes bacterium partial 16S ribosomal RNA
Rfam family: Bacterial small subunit ribosomal RNA
Source: RNAcentral
UAGGGAAUCUUCCGCAAUGGACGCAAGUCUGACGGAGCAACGCCGCGUGAGUGAAGAAGGAUUUCGGUUCGUAAAACUCUGUUGUUAGAGAAGAACAGCGCAUAGAGUAACUGUUAUGCGUGUGACGGUAUCUAACCAGAAAGCCACGGCUAACUACGUGCCAGCAGCCGCGGUAAUACGUAGGUGGCAAGCGUUGUCCGGAUUUAUUGGGCGUAAAGCGAGCGCAGGCGGUCAAUUAAGUCUGAUGUGCAAGCCCCCGGCUCAACCGGGGAGGGUCAGUGGAAACUGGUUGACUUGAGUGCAGAAGAGGAGAGUGGAAUUCCAUGUGGAGCGGUGAAAUGCGUAGAGAGAUGGAGGAACACCAGUGGCGAAGCGACUCUCUGGUCUGUAACGGACGCGGAGGCUCGAAAGCGUGGGUAGCAAACAGG